This 463-nucleotide ribosomal RNA is filed under the name uncultured bacterium. RNAcentral's name for it is "SSU rRNA". It matches the Rfam family "Bacterial small subunit ribosomal RNA", at positions 26 to 518 of the family's 1533-position model. The record is from RNAcentral.
AGGAUUAACGCUGGCGGCGUGCCUGACACAUGCAAGUCGAACGAGGCCGCAAGGCCGAGUGGCGGACGGGUGAGUAACACGUGACCAACCAACCUCGAAGUUGGGAAUAGCUCUGCGAAAGUAGUGGUAAUACCGAAUGUGGCCCAGGGCGGGCAUCCGCCUUGGUCUAAAGAUUCAUCGCUUCGAGACGGGGUCGCGGCCUAUUAGCUUGUUGGUGAGGUAACGGCUCACCAAGGCGAUGAUGGGUAGCUGGUCUGAGAGGACGACCAGCCACACUGGGACUGAGACACGGCCCAGACUCCUACGGGAGGCAGCAGUGAGGAAUCUUCCGCAAUGGGCGAAAGCCUGACGGAGCAACGCCGCGUGUGGGAUGAAGACUCUAGGGUUGUAAACCACUGUCGGAGGGGACGAUCGUGACGGUACCCUCCAAGAAAGCCCCGGCUAACUACGCGCCAGCAGCCGC